UUUGCCCUGCUUUGGCUGUUUAACGGCCGCCCGUGCAGUGAUGCUGGACUAGAACAGGUCUGGAUCUUGUUAAUGUAACAGCUGGAAGCUUUCCUGUCGGGAUCCCCAUCCAGGUGGUGAGAGGCCCUGCCUGGAAGAAGAGCUGGCUACACCAAGAUGGGGAAUGGAGCAGUGUGCAGCUGCUGCCAGCCAGGCGGAGGCUUUAGGAUUCACUUCUGGACAGGGAAGACAUUUUCCUUUCAAUGCCUCGGGACCCUUCAGCCACUGUAGGAGCGGGGUUGGUGUUGUCGCUGCUGUCAGAUCCUGGACCCGGCAGCUGACUUUUCCCAACUUGAACGGACAUCAGCAGAAGCGGCUUCAAAGAUGACCAAAUGUUGACCCUGCCUUGUGCUCAACUCAGUGCAGAAAGAAACCGUGACACUGAAAGAGAAACACAACCAGGAUGCAGUCCCCGCCCAGAGAAGAAGCAGCCAUUAGUACACAGAGGGUGUGCUCACAUAAGAAGUAAACCUUUUCCUUUAUGGGGAUGUACUUUUACUGAAAAAUCUUUCUUCUGCCAACAUGUGUAAGAAGCAUUGGGUUGAUCAGACAUGCCACCUUCGGAAUGAUACCUGAUGGACAUGGUAAAGGUGACCCAGAAUCCUGUCUCCUCUGGACUUAUGUGGGAAGAGUCUCCUGGGGACACAGACUUUCAGGGCAGCAAGGCCUGAUUGCUGUCCCUAUUUGUGAUCAGCUUGUUUUUAAUUGGAUGACUGUGGGCCCUGGGGCUGAUAUGAUGGUCACAGAUUACAUCUCUUAUCACUCUGCUUUUUUCUAGGUCAUAGUAACCCCCACUGUUGAUAGGAGUAGCUGCUCUCAGAGGGCUGGGGGUUCCUCAACUUGGCAUGUUCAAUAUGAUGGGCCACUCUGUGUCAGAGCCUAUCUUUUGCACUAGGCAGUCUCUAAUGAUGUCAUGAGCUUCCUACUGCCCCAUGUAUAGGAAGAGAUUCCUUUGGAUUUAGGAAUCUAAGCUCUGGACGGUAGCUGCAGGGACUUUACACUAACAUAAGAGUAUUCCAUUCCCUAGACAAUGUUAUUCACAUGCUAAAGAACAUUUUUUUAUUAGAUAUUUUCUUUAUUUACAUGUAAAUUUCUCCAUUCCUAGUUUCCCCUCCAAAAA
Molecule: long non-coding RNA, 1159 nt
Organism: Mastomys coucha (southern multimammate mouse)
Lineage: Eukaryota; Metazoa; Chordata; Mammalia; Rodentia; Muridae
Exons: 3
Source: RefSeq, a predicted model, not a curated record